UUCGAGGAGAUGACAGGUGGGUUAUGAUAAGGCUUUGUCAAGGUCAGAGCCCGUGUGGGCAUCGGGUCUGCGCUCCCGAGGAUGCAAAAUUCUUCUUUUUAGAGCAGAUGAGGAUCCUCCCAUCCAUUCUGUUACCAAAGAAACUACCAUUCUGUCAGCAUUUGGUAUACUUCAGAGACUUUGCCAGUUGUAAGGAGGACAGAAAUUAAUAACGUUUGUACAGAAUGGAGAGAAGAGCAAAGAAAGCCUAAUAAAACCAAGUGCGUGCUGGGGUGUGGGUGGGGCAGAUCCUACAUUUGCUGGACCAGGUGUAAAUGAUGAGAGUUUUGGAAAAGGGCCUGGACCAGUGUAUCUUUAAAAGAGAUCUUGGACAUGGGACUGAUGUCCUGACUGGAUGUGAGUCCAUAGGGGUAAAGGGACUGUUCUCUGAAGUCAGGAAGUGAGUAAAGGGCAUCGUUUCCCUGGCUCCUUGCAUUUGAGCAGGACCACGUGACUUUGGGUCAAUGUCAGGUGCUGGUGAUUGUGCACCACAGGAAACAGGUGAACUCUGGGAAGACUGGCCAAUUUGUAAAAGGAAACAAAAGGGAAUAAGGAGUCUACUGUGGAUGAAAAUCUGACCUUUAAUCCACACAUUUCAGAGAUGAGACUUUAGAGAACCCCUAAUCUGAUUCAGGUUCUGAAAGUGAAGGGGAGAUCCAAGCACGGCCUUUCCACCCAAGCUCCGUAUCCUUGAGGAAAGCAUCUUGGAGUGGAGACUGAGGAGGGGCCGUGGGAACAAGAUGGCAAAGACGUAGUUCUAGGAGCAACACGGAGUCCUCUGUGGACGCCUGGCCUGCCUGGAAGCAGACACUCCGCGAGCCUCCUGAGUUUGAGGGAGUUCCCCGUCAGUGAAACCAGGACCCUCAGUGUAUCUUUCAGAGAUCUUGGACAUGGGACUGAUGUCCUACUGGAUGCGAGUCCAUAGGGGUGAAGGGACCGUUUUCUGAAGACAGGAACGCUGCAUCAGCUAAAUGCCUGGGUGCCGAUGCUCACUGUGUGACUGUGACUUGCCGUCCCUGAGUUGGGCUGGAACCUCCUGGAGGUCAAAUCUGUGAUGACUGCAAAGAAAUUGGAGCUACAGAGUUGGCACAGAUAAAUCUCUGAACCGUAAUUUUGGAAGAGAAAAGGUUUAAAGAGAAUGCAUACAUUGCAGCACCA
Long non-coding RNA from Sciurus carolinensis (gray squirrel), 1197 nucleotides. RefSeq lists it as uncharacterized. The transcript has 3 exons. The record is from RefSeq and is a predicted model, not a curated record. Lineage: Eukaryota; Metazoa; Chordata; Mammalia; Rodentia; Sciuridae.